This 469-nucleotide ribosomal RNA is filed under the name uncultured bacterium. RNAcentral's name for it is "partial 16S ribosomal RNA". It matches the Rfam family "Bacterial small subunit ribosomal RNA", at positions 356 to 819 of the family's 1533-position model. The record is from RNAcentral.
AGGGAAUCUUCCACAAUGGACGCAAGUCUGAUGGAGCAACGCCGCGUGAGUGAAGAAGAUCUUCGGAUCGUAAAGCUCUGUUGUUGGUGAAGAAGGAUAGAGGCAGUAACUGGUCUUUAUUUGACGGUAAUCAACCAGAAAGUCACGGCUAACUACGUGCCAGCAGCCGCGGUAAUACGUAGGUGGCAAGCGUUGUCCGGAUUUAUUGGGCGUAAAGCGAGCGCAGGCGGAAUGAUAAGUCUGAUGUGAAAGCCCACGGCUCAACCGUGGAACUGCAUCGGAAACUGUCAUUCUUGAGUGCAGAAGAGGAGAGUGGAACUCCAUGUGUAGCGGUGGAAUGCGUAGAUAUAUGGAAGAACACCAGUGGCGAAGGCGGCCUCUGGUCUGCAACUGACGCUGAGGCUCGAAAGCAUGGGUAGCGAACAGGAUUAGAUACCCUGUAGUCCAUGCCGUAAACGAUGAGCGCUAG